GGAUGAACGCUGGCGGCGUGCCUAAUACAUGCGAGUCGUACGAACAGCGGAAAGUGCUUGCACUUUCCAAGUAAGUGGCGAACGGGUGAGUAACACGUGAAUAACCUACCUCAAAGUCUGGGAUAACCAUUGGAAACAGUGACUAAUACCGGAUAAAACCCAAGUGCACAUGCACUAAGGUUAAAAGCUGCGUUUGCAGCGCUUUAAGAUGGAUUCGCGGUGCAUUAGUUAGUUGGUGAGGUAAAGGCUCACCAAGACGAUGAUGCAUAGCCGAGUUGAGAGACUGACCGGCCACAUUGGGACUGAGACACGGCCCAAACUCCUACGGGAGGCUGCAGUAGGGAAUCUUCCACAAUGGGCGCAAGCCUGAUGGAGCAACGCCGCGUGUGUGAUGAAGACUUUCGGGUCGUAAAGCACUGUUGUAUGGGAAGAAUGGGUUUAAGAGGAAAUGCUUAAACAGUGACGGUACCAUACCAGAAAGGGACGGCUAAAUACGUGCCAGCAGCCGCGGUAAUACGUAUGUCCCGAGCGUUAUCCGGAUUUAUUGGGCGUAAAGCGAGCGCAGACUGUUGCUUAAGUCUGAAGUGAAAGCCCACAGCUCAACUGUGGAAUGGCUUUGGAACUGGGCAACUUGAGUGCAGUAGAGUAAGUGAACUCCAUGUGUAGCGGUGGGAUGCGUAGAUAUAUGGAAGAACACCAGUGGCGAAGGCGGCUUACUGGACUGUAACUGACGUUGAGGCUCGAAAGUGUGGGUAGCAAACGGGAUUAGAUACCCUGGUAGUCCACACCGUAAACGAUGGAUACUAGUUGUUAGAGGGUUUCCGCCCUUUAGUGACGAAGCAAACGCAUUAAGUAUCCCGCCUGGGGAGUACGACCGCAAGGUUGAAACUCAAAGGAAUUGACGGGGACCCGCACAAGCGGUGGAGCAUGUGGUUUAAUUCGAAGCAACGCGAAGAACCUUACCAGGUCUUGACAUCCUUUGAAGGUACUAGAGAUAGUGCUGUCUUCUUCGGAAGCAAAGUGACAGGUGGUGCAUGGCCGUCGUCAGCUCGUGUCGUGAGAUGUUGGGUUAAGUCCCGCAACGAGCGCAACCCUUAUGUUUAGUUGCCAGCAUUCAGUUGGGCACUCUAGACAGACUGCCGGUGACAAACCGGAGGAAGGCGGGGACGACGUCAGGUCAUCAUGCCCCUUAUGACCUGGGCUACACACGUGCUACAAUGGCGUAUACAACGAGCAGCAAACCUGUGAAGGUAAGCGAAUCUCUUAAAGUACGUCUCAGUUCGGAUUGUAGUCUGCAACUCGACUACAUGAAGUCGGAAUCGCUAGUAAUCGCGGAUCAGCAUGCCGCGGUGAAUACGUUCCCGGGUCU
This 1369-nucleotide ribosomal RNA is filed under the name uncultured Bacilli bacterium. RNAcentral's name for it is "16S ribosomal RNA". It matches the Rfam family "Bacterial small subunit ribosomal RNA", at positions 27 to 1381 of the family's 1533-position model. Lineage: Bacteria; Bacillati; Bacillota; Bacilli. The record is from RNAcentral.